GAUGAACGCUCGCGGCAGGCCUAACACAUGCAAGUCGAGGGGGAAGUUACUUUCGGGUGACUGAGACCGGCGUACGGGUGCGUAACGCGUAUACAAUCUGCCUUUCACUGGGGGAUAGCCCGAAGAAAUUUGGAUUAAUACCCCAUAGUAUAUAGGGACGGCAUCGUUUUUAUAUUAAAGCUUAGGUGGUGAAAGAUGAGUAUGCGUUCUAUUAGCUAGUUGGAGAGGUAACGGCUCCCCAAGGCGAUGAUAGAUAGGGGUUCUGAGAGGGAUGUCCCCCACACUGGUACUGAGAUACGGACCAGACUCCUACGGGAGGCAGCAGUGAGGAAUAUUGGGCAAUGGUCGGAAGACUGAUCCAGCCAUGCCGCGUGCAGGAUGAAGGUCUUAUGGAUUGUAAACUGCUUUUGUAAGGGAAGAAUAAGGGCUACGCGUAGUUUGAUGACGGUACCUUACGAAUAAGCAUCGGCUAACUCCGUG
RNAcentral lists this ribosomal RNA (480 nucleotides) under uncultured bacterium. Its description in RNAcentral is "partial 16S ribosomal RNA". It matches the Rfam family "Bacterial small subunit ribosomal RNA", at positions 28 to 507 of the family's 1533-position model. The record is from RNAcentral.